GUUAGUGGCGAAAGGGUGAGGAAUAGAUAGGAACGUACCCUGUGCUCUGGGAUAGCGUCUGAAGCUUCGGCUUCUUCCGAAAGGGGCGGUAAUACCAGAUAAUGUCCUUGCGGGACCAAAGAUUUAUCGGCAUUGGAGCGGCCUAUCUCCUAUCAGCUUGUUGGUGAGGUAACGGCUCACCAAGGCAACGACGGGUAGCGGGACUGAGAGGUUGGCCCGCCACAUCGGGACUGAGACACUGCCCGGACCUCCACGGAGGGCUGCAGUAACGGAUAUUGGGCAAUGGGCGAAAGCCUGACCCAGCAAUGCCGCGUGCAGGAUGAAGCCNNCCUAGGGGUGUAACACUGCUGUCAGGGUGUCAGAANAAGCUGGUUUCCGGCCAGUUGAAUCAACCCCAGAAGGAAGUCACGGCUAACUUCGUGCCAGCAGCCGCGGUAAUACGAAGGUGGCAAGCGUUAUUCGGAAUCAUUGGGCUUAAAGGGCACGCAGUGCGGAAACAGUGUGUGUUUGUGUGAAAUCCCCCGGCUUAACCGGGGAAUUGCACAGCAAACUGCUGUUCUUGAGGCAGGUAGGGGUGCAUGGAACUCUUGGUGGAGCGGUGGAAUGCGUAGAUAUCAAGAGGAACGCCAGAGGUGAAGACGGUGCACUGGGCCUGUCCUGACGCUGAGGUGCGAAAGCGUGGGGAGCGAACGGGAUUAGAUACCCCGGUAGUCCACGCCGUAAACGAUGUCUACUAGGUCGUGGGUGUUCUGACACAUUCACGGCCGGAGCAAAAGUGUUUAGUAGACCGCCUGGGGAGUACGGCCGCAAGGUUAAAACUCAAAUGAAUUGACGGGGGCUCACACAAGCGGUGGAGCAUGUGGAUUAAUUCGAAGCAACGCGCAGAACCUUACCUGGGUUUGACAUGCUUGUAUGCCUUCUCUGAAAGGAGUUAGGUUGCCUUCGGGUGAAACUUGCACAGGUGCUGCAUGGCUGUCGUCAGCUCGUGUCGUGAGAUGUCGGGUUAAGUCCUUUAACGAGCGAAACCCUUGCCGUUAGUUGCCAGCGAGUAAUGUCGGGGACUCUAACGGGACUGCCGGUGUUAAACCGGAGGAAGGUGGGGAUGACGUCAAGUCCUCAUGGCCUUUAUGCCCAGGGCUUCACACGUGCUACAAUGGCAAUUACAGAGCGACGCGAUACCGCGAGGUGGAGCAAAUCGCAAAAAAAUUGCCUCAGUUCGGAUUGCAGGCUGGCAAUUCGCCUGCAUGAAGUCGGAAUCGCUAGUAAUCGCGUAUCAGCAAUGACGCGGUGAAUGUGUUCCUGAGCCUUGUACACACCGCCCGUCAAGUGAUGGAAGCCGGGAGUACCCGAAGUCGGGUUGCUAACCUUUGGGAGGCGCCUGCCGACGGUAAG
This 1392-nucleotide ribosomal RNA is filed under the name uncultured organism. RNAcentral describes it as "16S ribosomal RNA". It matches the Rfam family "Bacterial small subunit ribosomal RNA", at positions 91 to 1466 of the family's 1533-position model. The record is from RNAcentral.